Molecule: non-coding RNA, 72 nt
Organism: Myotis lucifugus (little brown bat)
Lineage: Eukaryota; Metazoa; Chordata; Mammalia; Chiroptera; Vespertilionidae
Source: Rfam
GCCGGUGUGGCUCAGUGGACAGAGCGUCAGCCUGCGGACUGAAGGGUCCUGGUUCGAUUCCAGUCAAGGGUA